GAUCCUGGCUCAGGAUGAACGCUAGCUACAGGCUUAACACAUGCAAGUCGAGGGGCAGCGGGAAGUCAGCUUGCUGACUUUGCCGGCGACCGGCGCACGGGUGAGUAACACGUAUCCAACCUUCCCGUUACUCUGGAAUAGCCUUUCGAAAGAAAGAUUAAUACCGGAUAGUAUCGAGAGAUUGCAUGAUUACCCGAUUAAAGAUUCAUCGGUAACGGAUGGGGAUGCGUUCCGUUAGGCAGUUGGG
RNAcentral lists this ribosomal RNA (247 nucleotides) under uncultured bacterium. Its description in RNAcentral is "partial 16S ribosomal RNA". It matches the Rfam family "Bacterial small subunit ribosomal RNA", at positions 15 to 253 of the family's 1533-position model. The record is from RNAcentral.